Small nuclear RNA from Vombatus ursinus (common wombat), 106 nucleotides. The record is from Ensembl. NCBI's taxonomy places the organism in Eukaryota, Metazoa, Chordata, Mammalia, Diprotodontia, Vombatidae.
GUGCUCACUUCGGCAGCACAUAUACUAAAUCAGAAUGAUACAGAGAAGGUUAGCAUGCCCCCUGUGCAAGGAUGACAUGCAAAUUCAUGAAGCGUUCCAUAUUUUU